Non-coding RNA from Podarcis lilfordi (Lilford's wall lizard), 74 nucleotides. The record is from the annotation of a GenBank genome assembly. NCBI's taxonomy places the organism in Eukaryota, Metazoa, Chordata, Lepidosauria, Squamata, Lacertidae.
UCCCCAAACAGCUCAGCCGGGAGAGCAAUAGACUCUUCAUCUCAGGGUCGUGGGUUCGAGUCUCACAUGGGCAA